AGCCUGCAGUGGUCACGUGGUACAAGUCGUAGCUCUCAGAAAACUCCCAGUUCAUGAGUUGUCAUUAGGAGUUCUACGAGGACGUGAACGCUUUUUAGAAGUUGGAAUCUCGUAAUUACGGGAAUUCCGAUAUGGCGUGAACGCAGCAUUAGUUAAUCACUUGAUGGGUGUUUAUAUUCGCUUAACCAAAAUCAAAACAAGCAAACUACACAGUGCAACAGACGAGUGGGAAAUCAAAGACUGGAAUGCUGGGAGAACGCUGGGGAAACUGACAAAGGGGUGAGCUCUGGAAAGGAGGACGGAUACUUCCUGUUCCUGCUGGAGUGACCUGCAGGUCUGAGGAGGAGUGAGGGAGAGGAAGGCAGAGAAAGCGAUACCCUGUGAAACCUGCUGGUGUAAACUUACCUCUGAUUGGGACUCACUGAUGUAAUGGACAAACAAGCACAAAAUGUGUCGAUACCCACAUCAAAUCUCCCAGACUUCUGGAAACCACUUGUGUUCAAUAAUAUGCCCCGGAUAGGUGAAGGCCUGCCUCAUAUGGAGCAACUUUUUAAUUUCAAAGGGAGUGACACAUCCUCU
Molecule: long non-coding RNA, 579 nt
Filed under: Sinocyclocheilus grahami
Lineage: Eukaryota; Metazoa; Chordata; Actinopteri; Cypriniformes; Cyprinidae
Description: lncRNA (ENSSGRG00000024613.1)
Source: RNAcentral